GGGGUCGUAGUGCAGUUGGCUAGCACACCGGCCUGUCAAGCCGGAGGUCGCGGGUUCGAGUCCCGUCGGCCCCGCCA
RNAcentral lists this transfer RNA (77 nucleotides) under bacterium. RNAcentral's name for it is "tRNA-Asp". It matches the Rfam family "tRNA". Rfam says of the family: Transfer RNA (tRNA) molecules are approximately 80 nucleotides in length. Their secondary structure includes four short double-helical elements and three loops (D, anti-codon, and T loops). The record is from RNAcentral.